RNAcentral lists this unclassified non-coding RNA (400 nucleotides) under soil metagenome. RNAcentral's name for it is "partial contains 5.8S ribosomal RNA, internal transcribed spacer 2, and large subunit ribosomal RNA". The stretch from base 1 to 122 matches the Rfam family "5.8S ribosomal RNA", at positions 35 to 154 of the family's 154-position model. The record is from RNAcentral.
GAUGAAGAACGUAGCGAAAUGCGAUACUUGGUGUGAAUUGCAGAAUCCCGUGAACCAUCGAGUCUUUGAACGCAAGUUGCGCCUCAAGCCAUUAGGUUGAGGGCACGUCUGCCUGGGCGUCACAUAUCGUUGCCUGAUGCCAGUUUCCUCGUGAUGGGUGACUGUGCAGGGCGAAUGAUGGCUUCCCGUGAGCAUUGUUGCCUCAUGGUUGGUUGAAAAUUGAGUCCUUGGUAGGGAGCGCCGUGAUAGAUGGUGGUUGAGUGACGAACGAGACCCAAUCAUGUGAGACCCCUACCGAAUGUGGCCUUCAUGACCCACAUGCGUCUUUGGAACGCUCAUGACGAGACCUCAGGUCAGGCGGGGCUACCCGCUGAGUUUAAGCAUAUCAAUAAGCGGAGGA